GAAGAUGAUUGGGUCCCAAUGUAAAUGCAAAACAGUAGCCUAGGAAAUAAGAGGACAGCCAAGUGCCAAUCAGGUGACAGAUUCUAAAGAGGAUCCUACAGCUGCUCUUUCCUCUUUCCUGCAUUUCUAUGGGGGCUGGGGGUGAAACUGCCUGUGUCAAGCAGCACUCUGAGGCAUAGCAGUAGCAGCAGAGCACUGUCUGGGCUGGGGAACAGAAAACAGUAGGUGCAGACCAAUGGCCUGGCUCUGGACACUCCUCCCUGCCCCACAGCCUGAGGACAAGGGGAUGUCAGCCGAAGACAGCUCUUGGAGAGAAAAGCCCAAGGAGGCAGAGAGAAAGACACAUGGUAUGCCAAGGACCUGGAUUCCUUUGACUCCCAGAACCUCGGAAGACUGCCGGUCUCAAAGACACUCCUUCCAGGGGAAAGGAAAGCUAGUACUGCUGAGAUUAUCUUGAGGCAUUCAGGGGAACUGAUGGAGAAAUAGCUGCUUCCAAGUGAUCAGAUACACGACUCAGUCUUCCAGGUUGGCUUCACUUUACAUAACAGAGAUGAUUCUGUACAGGUUAAUAGUUUUAAAAAUUAAAUUAUAGUUUAAAUGCAUGGUGAAAAAAAUGAAAAAAAAGAAAAAUAAAUAAAUGCACUGUGAAAAUAAUAAGAUAAGAGCUAA
This is a long non-coding RNA of Canis lupus familiaris (dog), 669 nucleotides long. RefSeq lists it as uncharacterized. The transcript has 2 exons. Lineage: Eukaryota; Metazoa; Chordata; Mammalia; Carnivora; Canidae. The record is from RefSeq and is a predicted model, not a curated record.